RNAcentral lists this signal recognition particle RNA (284 nucleotides) under Erinaceus europaeus (western European hedgehog). RNAcentral's name for it is "Metazoan signal recognition particle RNA". It matches the Rfam family "Metazoan signal recognition particle RNA". From Rfam's summary of the family: The signal recognition particle (SRP) is a universally conserved ribonucleoprotein. It is involved in the co-translational targeting of proteins to membranes. Lineage: Eukaryota; Metazoa; Chordata; Mammalia; Eulipotyphla; Erinaceidae. The record is from Rfam by way of RNAcentral.
GCUAGGUGUGGUGGCAUGCAACUGUAAGUCCCAGCUACUUAGGAGGCUGAGGUUGGAGGAUCAGUUGAGGCCAGGAAUUCUGGGUUGUAGUGUACUGCCAUCGAGUAUCCCUACUAAGUUGGGCAUCAAUAUGGUGACUUCCUAAGAGUGGGGGAAUACCAGGUUGCCUAAGGAGUGGUGAACCAGCCCAGGUUGAAAAUGGAGCAAGUCAAAACCCUUGUGCUGAUCAGAAAUAUAUAUUAUAGAUCUGUGUGUGUGUGUAUAUAUAUAUAUAUAUAUAUUAU